UACGUAGGUGACAAGCGUUGUCCGGAUUUACUGGGCGUAAAGAGCGCGCAGGCGGUCGAUCAAGUCGAGUGUGAAAGCCCUCGGCUCAACUGGGGAGGGUCAUUCGAUACUGAUCGACUCGAAGGCAGGAGAGGGUAGUGGAAUUCCCGGUGUAGUGGUGAAAUGCGUAGAUAUCGGGAGGAACACCAGUGGCGAAGGCGACUACCUGGCCUGUUCUUGACGCUGAGGCGCGAAAGCUAGGGGAGCAAACGGG
RNAcentral lists this ribosomal RNA (253 nucleotides) under uncultured bacterium. RNAcentral's name for it is "partial 16S ribosomal RNA". It matches the Rfam family "Bacterial small subunit ribosomal RNA", at positions 524 to 776 of the family's 1533-position model. The record is from RNAcentral.